UAGCCAUAAUGUGGACAUGCAUUUAAAAGUUCCUUAAACCUCUCCCAACAUUGGAAGAAGGUUUCAUCCUUUUUUGUGAAAAAAUCAUUAUGACUCUUAUGAGAGU
This is a small nucleolar RNA of Magnolia sinica, 106 nucleotides long. NCBI's taxonomy places the organism in Eukaryota, Viridiplantae, Streptophyta, Magnoliopsida, Magnoliales, Magnoliaceae. The record is from RefSeq and is a predicted model, not a curated record.